CAGUCCCGCGGGAAAACGAAGGGUGCAAGCGUUACUCGGAAUUACUGGGCGUAAAGCGUGCGUAGGUGGUGGUUUAAGUCCGUUGUGAAAGCCCUGGGCUCAACCUGGGAAUUGCAGUGGAUACUGGGUCACUAGAGUGUGGUAGAGGAUAGUGGAAUUUCCGGUGUAGCAGUGAAAUGCGUAGAGAUCGGAAGGAACAUCUGUGGCGAAGGCGACUAUCUGGGCCAACACUGACACUGAGGCACGAAAGCGUGGGGAGCAAACAGGAUUAGAUACCCGCGUAGUCCCUGUCUCUUAUACC
RNAcentral lists this ribosomal RNA (301 nucleotides) under uncultured bacterium. RNAcentral's name for it is "partial 16S ribosomal RNA". It matches the Rfam family "Bacterial small subunit ribosomal RNA", at positions 512 to 808 of the family's 1533-position model. The record is from RNAcentral.